GACAGAGGGUGCAAACGUUGUUCGGAAUUACUGGGCGUAAAGCGCGUGUAGGCGGCCCUGCAAGUCGGCUGUGAAAUCCCACGGCUCAACCGUGGAAGUGCAUUCGAAACUGCAGGGCUAGAGUCCUGGAGAGGAAGGUGGAAUGCUUGGUGUAGAGGUGAAAUUCGUAGAUAUCAAGCGGAACACCGGUGGCGAAGGCGGCCUUCUGGACAGUGACUGACGCUGAGACGCGAAAGCGUGGGGAGCAAACAGG
This 253-nucleotide ribosomal RNA is filed under the name uncultured bacterium. Its description in RNAcentral is "partial 16S ribosomal RNA". It matches the Rfam family "Bacterial small subunit ribosomal RNA", at positions 524 to 776 of the family's 1533-position model. The record is from RNAcentral.